RNAcentral lists this ribosomal RNA (334 nucleotides) under uncultured soil bacterium. RNAcentral's name for it is "bacterial SSU rRNA". It matches the Rfam family "Bacterial small subunit ribosomal RNA", at positions 26 to 365 of the family's 1533-position model. The record is from RNAcentral.
AGGACAAACGCUGGCGGCGUGCUUAACACAUGCAAGUCGAACGGUCUUCCUUCGGGAAGAUAGUGGCGGACGGGUGAGUAACACGUAGAUAACCUGCCCUUAUGUGGGGAAUAACCCCUCGAAAGAGGAGCUAAUACCGCAUGAGUUCUCUGUUGAUAGAUAGAGAAGAAACCUCGGUUAUACCUGGGGCAUGAGAGGGGUCUGCGGCGAUUAGCUAGUUGGUGGAGUAACGCUCCCCAAGGCAACGAUCCGUAGCUGGUCUGAGAGGACGGCCAGCCACACUGGGACUGAGAUACGGCCCAGACUCCUACGGGAGGCAGCAGUGAGGAAUAUU